UACGGAGGGGGCAAGCGUUACUCGGAAUUAUUGGGCGUAAAGGGCGCGUAGGCGGUCGUGUGCGUCGGAGGUGAAAUCCCAGGGCUCAACCCUGGAACUGCCUUCGAUACUGGCUAUCUCGAGUCCGGGAGAGGUGAGUGGAACUGCGAGUGUAGAGGUGAAAUUCGUAGAUAUUCGCAAGAACACCAGUGGCGAAGGCGGCUCACUGGCCCGGUACUGACGCUGAGGUGCGAAAGCGUGGGGAGCAAACAGG
This 253-nucleotide ribosomal RNA is filed under the name uncultured bacterium. RNAcentral describes it as "partial 16S ribosomal RNA". It matches the Rfam family "Bacterial small subunit ribosomal RNA", at positions 524 to 776 of the family's 1533-position model. The record is from RNAcentral.